CAGCCAUCGAGUGCGGUUUAAUUUAAUUUGGCCUUGUGUAAAGUGACGGGUAGAAUUUCCGGAUUAGAUAUAGCGCUAAAUCCUGUUUAUGGGUUUGGCGUUUAGUAUCCGAUAUUGGAUCCGGCUGUUGCUGUAGAGGGAACAAUUCAUCAAGACACCCAAAAGAAGAGCGAAGUCAUCCGACGGGAGGGAAAUUAUCGUCGCAUAAGGGGUCUCAAAGGCCUAAGAGUUCCCUGAGAUAAUUAUUUAAUCCGCCUAAGUCGCUGGGAGCGGAGUUAGGAUAAAGAGAGGGCAAAAGAGUCAAAAAGAACUCGAGUUGUAACACCUGCCCAAAUUAAAUAUAUAUAAUAUUUAUA
This is a long non-coding RNA of Drosophila elegans, 356 nucleotides long. RefSeq lists it as uncharacterized. The transcript has 3 exons. The record is from RefSeq and is a predicted model, not a curated record. NCBI's taxonomy places the organism in Eukaryota, Metazoa, Arthropoda, Insecta, Diptera, Drosophilidae.